RNAcentral lists this ribosomal RNA (1405 nucleotides) under uncultured bacterium. RNAcentral's name for it is "bacterial SSU rRNA". It matches the Rfam family "Bacterial small subunit ribosomal RNA". The record is from RNAcentral.
AUUCGCCCUUAGAGUUUGAUCCUGGCUCAGAACGAACGCUGGUAGCGUGGAUUAGGCAUGCAAGUCGAACGGGAUCACGAGGAUAGCAAUAUUCUUGUGUGAGAGUGGCGGAUUGGGGAGGAACACGUGAACAACCUGCCCUUGAGUUCGGGAAAACCGUUGGAAACGACGGCUAAUACCGGAUGUGGCGUCGGAGGACAUCCUCUGAACGCUAAAGGGGGCCGCAAGGCUCCCGCUCAUCGAGGGGUUCGCGCACCAUCAGCUUGUUGGCGGGGUAACGGCCCACCAAGGCCUACGGUUAGCUGGUCUGAGAGGAUGGUCAGCCACACUGGGACUGAGACACUGCCCAGACUCCUACGGGAGGCUGCAGUCGAGAAUCUUGGGCAAUGCGCGAAAGCGUGACCCAGCAAUGCCGCGUGUAUGAUGAAGGUCUUCGGAUUGUAAAAUACUGUCUCCCGUGACGAAAAGAUGACGGUAGCGGGGAAGGAAGCCACGGCUAACUACGUGCCAGCAGCCGCGGUAAUACGUAGGUGGCGAGCGCUGUUCGGAUUUAUUGGGCGUAAAGGGUCUGUAGGAUGUUUGUUAAAAGUGAGGUGAAAUCUGGGAGCUCAACUUUCAAAUUGCCUUGCUGACUGAUAAACUAGGGUACUGGAGAGGUAAGCGGAAUACCAAGUGUAGCGGUGGAAUGCGUAGAUAUUUGGUAGAACACCAAGAGCGAAGGCAGCUUACUUGCCAUUAACCGACUCUGAGAGACGAAAGCGUGGGUAGCGAACAGGAUUAGAUACCCUGGUAGUCCACGCCGUAAACGUUGUCAACUUGAUGUGGGUGGAUUUAGUCCUAUCCCUAUCGAAACAAACGCGAUAAGUUGAACCGCCUGGGGACUACGGCCGCAAGGCUUAAAACUCAAAGGAAUUGACGGGGGGCCCGCACAAGCGGUAGAGCAUGUGGGCUUAAUUCGAGGGCAACGCGAAGAACCUUACCUGGGCUUGAAAUAUACCUGACGAUGCUGGAAACAGUAUUUCCCUUCGGGGCGGGUAAACAGGUGCUAGCAUGGCUGUCGUCAGCUCGUGCCGUGAGGUGUUCGGUUAAGUCCGGCAACGAGCGCAACCCGUGUCAUUAGUUGCCAACAGGUAAAGCUGGGGACUCUAAUGAGACUGCCCGUGUUAAGCGGGAGGAAGGCGCGGAUGACGUCAAGUCAGUAUGGCCCUUACGCCCAGGGCUGCACACGUGCUACAAUGGGGGGUACAAUGAGAGGCGAAACUGCGAAGUGGAGCAAAUCUGCAAAACCCCUCUUAGUUCGGAUUGUAGUCUGCAACUCGACUACAUGAAGUUGGAAUCGCUAGUAAAGGCGUAUCAGCUACGACGCCUUGAAUACGUUCCCGGGCCUUGCACUCACCGCCGGUCA